This 1122-nucleotide ribosomal RNA is filed under the name Staphylococcus sp. RNAcentral describes it as "bacterial SSU rRNA". It matches the Rfam family "Bacterial small subunit ribosomal RNA", at positions 30 to 1136 of the family's 1533-position model. Lineage: Bacteria; Bacillati; Bacillota; Bacilli; Caryophanales; Staphylococcaceae. The record is from RNAcentral.
UAGGAGUGGCGGCGUGCUAUACAUGCAGUCGAGCGAACAGAUAAGGAGCUUGCUCCUUUGACGUUAGCGGCGGACGGGUGAGUAACACGUGGAUAACCUACCUAUAAGACUGGGAUAACUUCGGGAAACCGGAGCUAAUACCGGAUAACAUAUUGAACCGCAUGGUUCAAUAGUGAAAGGCGGCUUUGCUGUCACUUAUAGAUGGAUCCGCGCCGUAUUAGCUAGUUGGUAAGGUAACGGCUUACCAAGGCAACGAUACGUAGCCGACCUGAGAGGGUGAUCGGCCACACUGGAACUGAGACACGGUCCAGACUCCUACGGGAGGCAGCAGUAGGGAAUCUUCCGCAAUGGGCGAAAGCCUGACGGAGCAACGCCGCGUGAGUGAUGAAGGUCUUCGGAUCGUAAAACUCUGUUAUCAGGGAAGAACAAAUGUGUAAGUAACUGUGCACAUCUUGACGGUACCUGAUCAGAAAGCCACGGCUAACUACGUGCCAGCAGCCGCGGUAAUACGUAGGUGGCAAGCGUUAUCCGGAAUUAUUGGGCGUAAAGCGCGCGUAGGCGGUUUUUUAAGUCUGAUGUGAAAGCCCACGGCUCAACCGUGGAGGGUCAUUGGAAACUGGAAAACUUGAGUGCAGAAGAGGAAAGUGGAAUUCCAUGUGUAGCGGUGAAAUGCGCAGAGAUAUGGAGGAACACCAGUGGCGAAGGCGACUUUCUGGUCUGUAACUGACGCUGAUGUGCGAAAGCGUGGGGAUCAAACAGGAUUAGAUACCCUGGUAGUCCACGCCGUAAACGAUGAGUGCUAAGUGUUAGGGGGUUUCCGCCCCUUAGUGCUGCAGCUAACGCAUUAAGCACUCCGCCUGGGGAGUACGACCGCAAGGUUGAAACUCAAAGGAAUUGACGGGGACCCGCACAAGCGGUGGAGCAUGUGGUUUAAUUCGAAGCAACGCGAAGAACCUUACCAAAUCUUGACAUCCUUUGACUGCUCUAGAGAUAGAGUUUUCCCCUUCGGGGGACAAAGUGACAGGUGGUGCAUGGUUGUCGUCAGCUCGUGUCGUGAGAUGUUGGGUUAAGUCCCGCAACGAGCGCAACCCUUAAAGCUUAGUUGCCAUCAUUAAGUUGGGA